This 173-nucleotide ribosomal RNA is filed under the name uncultured bacterium. Its description in RNAcentral is "partial 16S ribosomal RNA". It matches the Rfam family "Bacterial small subunit ribosomal RNA", at positions 1320 to 1500 of the family's 1533-position model. The record is from RNAcentral.
GUGAAGCUGGAUUCGCUAGUAAUCGCGCAUCAGCCAUGGCGCGGUGAAUACGUUCCCGGGCCUUGUACACACCGCCCGUCAAGCCAUGGAAGCCGGGAGUGCCUGAAGUAUGCAACCGCAAGGAGCGUCCUAAGGUAAAACCGGUGACUGGGGCUAAGUCGUAACAAGGUACC